UACGAAGGUCCCAAGCGUUGCUCGGAAUCAUUGGGCGUAAAGCGGGUGCAGGUGGCUUUGUAAGUCAGGAGUGAAAGCCCAGGGCUCAACCCUGGAAGUGCUUUUGAUACUGCGAAGCUUGAGUGUGAGAGAGGAUGCUGGAAUUGCUGGUGUAGUGGUGAAAUACGUAGAGAUCAGCAGGAACCCCAGUGGCGAAGGCGGGCAUCUGGCUCAACACUGACACUUAGGCCCGAAAGCGUGGGGAUCAAACAGG
RNAcentral lists this ribosomal RNA (253 nucleotides) under uncultured bacterium. RNAcentral's name for it is "partial 16S ribosomal RNA". It matches the Rfam family "Bacterial small subunit ribosomal RNA", at positions 524 to 776 of the family's 1533-position model. The record is from RNAcentral.